RNAcentral lists this ribosomal RNA (440 nucleotides) under uncultured bacterium. RNAcentral's name for it is "partial 16S ribosomal RNA". It matches the Rfam family "Bacterial small subunit ribosomal RNA", at positions 338 to 795 of the family's 1533-position model. The record is from RNAcentral.
CCUACGGGAGGCAGCAGUGGGGAAUAUUGCACAAUGGGGGAAACCCUGAUGCAGCGACGCCGCGUGAGUGAAGAAGUAUUUCGGUAUGUAAAGCUCUAUCAGCAGGGAAGAAAAUGACGGUACCUGAUUAAGAAGCCCCGGCUAACUACGUGCCAGCAGCCGCGGUAAUACGUAGGGGGCAAGCGUUAUCCGGAUUUACUGGGUGUAAAGGGGGCGUAGACGGCAGCACAAGUCUGGAGUGAAAUGCCGGGGCUUAACCCCGGAACUGCUUUGGAAACUGUGCAGCUAGAGUGCAGGAGAGGUAAGUGGAAUUCCUAGUGUAGCGGUGAAAUGCGUAGAUAGUAGGAGGAACCCCAGUGGCGAAGGCGGCUUACUGGACUGUAACUGACGUUGAGGCUCGAAAGCGUGGGGAGCAAACAGGAUUAGAUACCCUUGUAGUC